CCCUUAGAGUUUGAUCCUGGCUCAGAUUGAACGCUGGCGGCAGGCCUAACACAUGCAAGUCGAACGGUAACAGGAAGCAGCUUGCUGCUUUGCUGACGAGUGGCGGACGGGUGAGUAAUGUCUGGGAAACUGCCUGAUGGAGGGGGAUAACUACUGGAAACGGUAGCUAAUACCGCAUAACGUCGCAAGACCAAAGAGGGGGACCUUCGGGCCUCUUGCCAUCGGAUGUGCCCAGAUGGGAUUAGCUAGUAGGUGGGGUAACGGCUCACCUAGGCGACGAUCCCUAGCUGGUCUGAGAGGAUGACCAGCCACACUGGAACUGAGACACGGUCCAGACUCCUACGGGAGGCAGCAGUGGGGAAUAUUGCACAAUGGGCGCAAGCCUGAUGCAGCCAUGCCGCGUGUAUGAAGAAGGCCUUCGGGUUGUAAAGUACUUUCAGCGGGGAGGAAGGCGAUAAGGUUAAUAACCUUGUCGAUUGACGUUACCCGCAGAAGAAGCACCGGCAACUCUG
RNAcentral lists this ribosomal RNA (512 nucleotides) under uncultured bacterium. Its description in RNAcentral is "bacterial SSU rRNA". It matches the Rfam family "Bacterial small subunit ribosomal RNA", at positions 1 to 505 of the family's 1533-position model. The record is from RNAcentral.